CUUUCAACAACGGAUCUCUUGGUUCUGGCAUCGAUGAAGAACGCA
RNAcentral lists this ribosomal RNA (45 nucleotides) under Pseudocyphellaria intricata. Its description in RNAcentral is "partial 5.8S ribosomal RNA". Lineage: Eukaryota; Fungi; Ascomycota; Lecanoromycetes; Peltigerales; Lobariaceae. The record is from RNAcentral.